Molecule: microRNA precursor, 98 nt
Filed under: Otolemur garnettii (small-eared galago)
Lineage: Eukaryota; Metazoa; Chordata; Mammalia; Primates; Galagidae
Description: mir-544 microRNA precursor family
Rfam family: mir-544 microRNA precursor family
Source: Rfam by way of RNAcentral
AUCACCUAGGAAUCUUGUUAAAAUGUAGGUUCUGAUUUAGUAUGUCCAGGGUGAAGCCCAAGAUCCUGCACUUCUAACAAGUGCUGUGGUGAUGUUAA